CUACGGAGCAGCAGUGGGCAUAUUGCACAAUGGCGCAAAGCCUGAUGCAGCCAUGCAGCGUGUGGGAAGAAUGCUUAGGAUGUAAAGCACUUCAGCGAGGAGGAAGGUAGUGUGUUAUAGCACAUUGCAUUGACGUACUCGCAGAAGAAGCACCGGCUAACUCCGUGCAGCAGCCGCGGUAAUACGGAGGGGUGCAAGCGUUAAUCGGAAUUACUGGGCGUAAAGCGCACGCAGGCGGUUGUUAAGUCAGAUGUGAAAUCCCCGCGCUUAACGUGGGAACUGCAUUUGAAACUGGCAAGCUAGAGUCUUGUAGAGGGGGGUAGAAUUCCAGGUGUAGCGGUGAAAUGCGUAGAGAUCUGGAGGAAUACCGGUGGCGAAGGCGGCCCCCUGGACAAAGACUGACGCUCAGGUGCGAAAGCGUGGGGAGCAAACAGGAUUAGAUACCCUGGUAGUCCACGCUGUAAACGAUGUCGAUUUGGAGGUUGUGCCCUUGAGGCGUGGCUUCCGGAGCUAACGCGUUAAAUCGACCGCCUGGGGAGUACGGCCGCAAGGUUAAAACUCAAAUGAAUUGACGGGGGCCCGCACAAGCGGUGGAGCAUGUGGUUUAAUUCGAUGCAACGCGAAGAACCUUACCUACUCUUGACAUCCAGAGAACUUUCCAGAGAUGGAUUGGUGCCUUCGGGAACUCUGAGACAGGUGCUGCAUGGCUGUCGUCAGCUCGUGUUGUGAAAUGUUGGGUUAAGUCCCGCAACGAGCGCAACCCUUAUCCUUUGUUGCCAGCGAUUCGGUCGGGAACUCAAAGGAGACUGCCGGUGAUAAACCGGAGGAAGGUGGGGAUGACGUCAAGUCAUCAUGGCCCUUACGAGUAGGGCUACACACGUGCUACAAUGGCGUAUACAAAGAGAAGCGAACUCGCGAGAGCAAGCGGACCUCAUAAAGUACGUCGUAGUCCGGAUUGGAGUCUGCAACUCGACUCCAUGAAGUCGGAAUCGCUAGUAAUCGUAGAUCAGAAUGCUACGGUGAAUACGUUCCCGGGCCUUGUACACACCGCCCGUCACACCAUGGGAGUGGGUUGCAAA
RNAcentral lists this ribosomal RNA (1079 nucleotides) under Serratia sp. (in: enterobacteria). RNAcentral's name for it is "bacterial SSU rRNA". It matches the Rfam family "Bacterial small subunit ribosomal RNA", at positions 339 to 1421 of the family's 1533-position model. The record is from RNAcentral. Lineage: Bacteria; Pseudomonadati; Pseudomonadota; Gammaproteobacteria; Enterobacterales; Yersiniaceae.